GAGGAAAAGAAACCAACAGGGAUUGCCCUAGUAACGGCGAGUGAAGCGGCAACAGCUCAAAUUUGAAAUCUGGCUCCUUUGGUGCCCGAGUUGUAAUUUGCAGAGGGUGCUUUGGUGUUGGCUGUGGUCCAAGUUCCCUGGAACAGGACGUCACAGAGGGUGAGAACCCCGUACGUGGCCGCCAGUCUUCGCCGUGUAAAGCCCCUUCGACGAGUCGAGUUGUUUGGGAAUGCAGCUCUAAAUGGGAGGUAAAUUCCUUCUAAAGCUAAAUAUUGGCCAGAGACCGAUAGCGCACAAGUAGAGUGAUCGAAAGAUGAAAAGCACUUUGGAAAGAGAGUGAAAUAGCACGUGAAAUUGUUGAAAGGGAAGCGCUUGGAGCCAGACGUGCCCGUAGUUGCUCAGCCGGGGUUCUCCCCGGUGCACUCUUCUGCGGGCAGGCCAGCAUCAGUUUGGGCGGUUGGACAAAGGCCUGCUAAACGUACCUCCCCCCGGGGAGGACUUAUAGGGUAGGCGGCAUACGACCAGCCCGGACUGAGGACCGCGCAUCUGCUAGGAUGCUGGCGUAAUGGCUGUAAGCGGCCCGUCUUGAAACACGGACCAAGGAGUCUAACAUCUAUGCGAGUGUUUGGGUGUCAAGCCCGAGCGCGCAAUGAAAGUGAACGCAGGUGGGAGCCUCUCGGGGCGCACCAUCGACCGAUCCUGAUGUCUUCGGAAGGAUUUGAGUAAGAGCAUAGCUGUUGGGACCCGAAAGAUGGUGAACUAUGCCUGAAUAGGGUGAAGCCAGAGGAAACUCUGGUGGAGGCUCGCAGCGGUUCUGACGUGCAAAUCGAUCGUCAAAUUUGGGCAUAGGGGCGAAAGACUAAUCGAACUAUCUAGUAGCUGGU
RNAcentral lists this ribosomal RNA (884 nucleotides) under Magnibotryascoma mali. RNAcentral's name for it is "partial large subunit ribosomal RNA". It matches the Rfam family "Eukaryotic large subunit ribosomal RNA", at positions 53 to 955 of the family's 3401-position model. Lineage: Eukaryota; Fungi; Ascomycota; Dothideomycetes; Pleosporales; Teichosporaceae. The record is from RNAcentral.